Molecule: ribosomal RNA, 1370 nt
Filed under: uncultured marine bacterium
Lineage: Bacteria
Description: 16S ribosomal RNA
Rfam family: Bacterial small subunit ribosomal RNA
Source: RNAcentral
AUGAACGCUAGCGGCAGGCCUAAUACAUGCAAGUCGAACGGUAACAUUGGUGCUUGCACCAGAUGACGAGUGGCGCACGGGUGCGUAACGCGUAUGCAACCUACCUUUUACUAGAGUAUAGCCCAGAGAAAUUUGGAUUAAUCCUCUAUAACAUCUUUAAGUUUCAUAACUUUUAGAUUAAAGUUUUAACGGUAAAAGAUGGGCAUGCGUCCUAUUAGUUUGUAGGUGAGGUAACGGCUCACCUAGACUACGAUAGGUAGGGGCCCUGAGAGGGGGAUCCCCCACACUGGGACUGAGACACGGACCAGACUCCUACGGGAGGCAGCAGUAAGGAAUAUUGGACAAUGGACGAAAGUCUGAUCCAGCCAUGCCGCGUGCAGGAUGAAAGCCUUAUGGGUUGUAAACUGCUUUUAUACAGGAAGAAACACUCCGACGUGUCGGAGCUUGACGGUACUGUAAGAAUAAGGAUCGGCUAACUCCGUGCCAGCAGCCGCGGUAAUACGGAGGAUCCAAGCGUUAUCCGGAAUCAUUGGGUUUAAAGGGUCCGCAGGCGGGAUUCUCAGUCAGUGGUGAAAGCCUACAGCUCAACUGUAGAACUGCCCAUUGAUACUGGAAUCCUUGAGUGUGGUUGAAGUAGACGGGAAUAUGUCAUGUAGCGGUGAAAUGCAUAGAUAUGACAUAGAACACCAAUUGCGUAGGCAGUUUACUAAACCAUUACUGACGCUCAUGGACGAAAGUGUGGGGAGCGAACAGGAUUAGAUACCCUGGUAGUCCACACCGUAAACUAUGAUCACUAGAUGUUGGCGAUAUACAGUCAGUGUCUUAGAGAAAUCGUUAAGUGAUCCACCUGGGGAGUACGUUCGCAAGAAUGAAACUCAAAGGAAUUGACGGGGGCCCGCACAAGCGGUGGAGCAUGUGGUUUAAUUCGAUGAUACGCGAGGAACCUUACCAAGGCUUAAAUGUAAAACGACCGGCUGAGAGAUCAGCUUUUUUUCGAACGGUUUACAAGGUGCUGCAUGGUUGUCGUCAGCUCGUGCCGUGAGGUGUCGGGUUAAGUCCCAUAACGAGCGCAACCCCUAUUUCUAGUUGCCAGCGAGUAAUGUCGGGAACUCUAGAGAGACUGCCCGUGCAAACGGAGAGGAAGGUGGGGAUGACGUCAAAUCAUCACGGCCCUUAUGUCUUGGGCUACACACGUGCUACAAUGGUAUGGACAAUGAGCAGCCAUCUGGCAACAGAGAGCGAAUCUAUAAACCAUAUCACAGUUCGGAUCGGAGUCUGCAACUCGACUCCGUGAAGCUGGAAUCGCUAGUAAUCGGAUAUCAGCCAUGAUCCGGUGAAUACGUCCCGGGCCUUGUACACACCGCCCGUCA